CAGGGAAAUGCAAAUAAAAACCAUAAUCAUAUAUAACCUCACUUCUGUCAGGUUAGCUUUCAUUUACAGAAAAAAAAAAGGCAACUAAUGUUGGUGAAGAGGUGGAGAAAUUGAAAUGCUUGCACAUGGUUGGAAAGCAAAAUAGUCCAGCUGCUAUAGAAAAUAAUAUGGAGAUUCCUCAAAAAAUUAAAAACAAAACCUACUUAUGAUCCAGAUAUUCUACUUUUGUGUAUUUAUUCCAGAAAAUUUAAAUGAGCAUUCCAAGGAAAUAUUAGCACUCCUAUGUUCAUUGCAGUACUAUAUAUAACACAACAGCCAAUAUAUGGAAACAACUUAAAUGUCCAUUGACAGAUAAAUAAGUAAAGAAAAGCUGGUAUACACAUGCUAUAGAAUACUAUUCAGCCCUAAAAAAUAAGAGAAUUCUGCAAUAUGUGACAACAUGGAUGAACCUUGAGAAUACAAUAGGCUAAAUGAAAUAAUCUCAUUAUAGAAAGACAAAUACUGCAUGAUUCUACUACAUGUGGUAUCUAAAAAAAGCAAAUUUACAGAAUGAAAGAGUGGAAUAGUGAUUUUCAAGGGUUGAAAGAAGGAAAUGGGGAACUACUAAACAAUGGGUGUAAAGUUUCGGUCAAACAAGAUGAAUGAGCUCUAGGGAUCUGCUGUAAAACACUGUACCAAGGGUCAAUAAUAAUAUAUUGUAUACUUAAGAAUUGUAUUAAGUAGGUAAACCUAAUGUUAAGUGUUCUAACCACAAUAAAACACAAUUUUAACAAUGCCUCCAGCAGCACAGAGAUCUGUCUGGCCACUCUUAGCAGUCUGCUCCAGCUCUGAAAUUCACUUUACUAUGAGGACAGCUUUAUCCCACAAAGCGCAGGGUUCAGAAUUUGUCUUAAGUGUACACCUCUGUGUGUUUAUGUACAUGAUAAAAUGUGUGCUUCUUCAGAGAUCAGCUUUUGGGAAUCUACAAGAUUCAGGAUCAGUUCAGAAGUUGGAAUUAGUUGGAAAGAGCAAAAGACGAUCUUUGGCAGAUAACACUUGAGCACAAUACUGCCAAGCAUCGAAGAACUGAUAACUACACUUGAUGGACAGCUUUUGCUCAGGUCACUGUGCAGAAGAAGCAAAGUGUAUAAAUUCACUGGUUAGGAUUCUCACCGAAGAGCUACCUGUUGAUAGCCAAUAAAACAGAGAACAAAACAGAAAACAUGGCUUGACAAGAGUGCCAAGAAUACACAACGGGGAAAUGACAGUCUCUGAUUUUUCCUUUACAUCAGAACAUGUGUUCACCUAGAGAUGCCUAGGAAAAUAGCCAACUAAUCCCAGAUGUAGAAAUUCAGAUUGUGGCAGCCAACAACAGCAAGCAACUGAUGUUUUUAUCAAUAUUUUAACUUUGUUGUCAUUGCCUUCUCUCUUUCAAUAACUUAAGAAUUAUUCUCUGGAUAACGUCUUUAUUUUCCAUUUUUUAAAUUAUAAUUUAAGUUCUGGGGUACAUGUACAGAUCGUGCAGA
Molecule: long non-coding RNA, 1505 nt
Filed under: Callithrix jacchus (white-tufted-ear marmoset)
Lineage: Eukaryota; Metazoa; Chordata; Mammalia; Primates; Cebidae
Description: lncRNA (ENSCJAG00000084312.1)
Source: RNAcentral